CUUGUGGCCGCAGGAAGCUCUCUUGUCUGGCAUACUCCCUGCUCUCACUGACCCAGCAAAGGAGAGAAAACAAUAAAUAGAUACUGGUUACAAAGGUUGACAUUCUAUCAGAGAAGGAUACAAGGUACAGUGAACGCCAAGAAGGACAUGGUUAACUGCCUGAUACAGUCAGGGACAGCUUCGAAAGGGAUGCCUGAGCUGAGCCGUGAAUGAUGAACAGGAGAGGACAUUCCGGGUAGUCCAGACAUGACUGCAAAAACAGAGGAGUGUGGAACGGCAUGGCGCCUUUUGGGGAAUGGUAGAAACCUGCUGUUCUCUGUGUAUUGGCUUUUCUGGGCAGCAGGCAAGAUGAACCCACCAGGCAAUUACAAAUUCACUGGCCAACAACUUGUUCAAUGUCCAAUGCCUUAGAGCUGGGUUAGCAGUCACUUAUUGGCAAGGCUUAUGUGGUCGCGACACACCUUUAAAUUGUGAACUAUCACAGUGCAUGUAUGACUCCAGCGCUAAGGCAGCCCCAUCAUCUUCCAGGGCUACAGCUCCCUAUGUGUCAAGGAUGGACAAGCUGGAUGGACUGAAAGUUCUUGUAGCUUUUAUACCCAACAAAAAUAGAGACUUCACAUUGUAUAAAUCCAUUUCCUCCUGAACUCUGAACAUAUGAUUAAUAAGCUCUUUUUCCUCUAUCUACUCUCAAUGUUGAAAAAGCUUGAGCUGCUUUGGUCGAAAAGCCUUAGAUUUUGUACCAAAUGUACAGUUAACUAGUUCUUUUCAGCAAUGUUAACAUUGUUACAUUUCUAAACAAAUAACAAAAACAGCAUCAAAAGUAGCUGACCACCCACUUUCUCAUAUCUCAUUUGAUCCUUAUCAAACCCCCUUUGCCCUCAUUUAAUAAAGAAACCUAUGUUCUAAAAUGUAUGUAAUUUGUCUAAGAUCAUACAACCAACAAGUGGAGAAGCCAGAGUUUGAAUCUAUAUUGGACUCCAAAGCCCAGUAUUCCGAUAAUACCUUACUACUUAUAAAGGGA
RNAcentral lists this long non-coding RNA (1021 nucleotides) under Homo sapiens (human). RNAcentral's name for it is "HSALNT0230507". The record is from RNAcentral. Lineage: Eukaryota; Metazoa; Chordata; Mammalia; Primates; Hominidae.